GACGAACGCUGGCGGCGUGCUUAACACAUGCAAGUCGAACGGAAAGGCCCUGCUUGCAGGGUACUCGAGUGGCGAACGGGUGAGUAACACGUGGGUGAUCUGCCCUGCACUUCGGGAUAAGCCUGGGAAACUGGGUCUAAUACCGGAUAGGAGCUAUUCUUAGUGUGAUGGUUGGAAAGCUUUUUCGGUGUAGUGUGAGCUCGCGGCCUAUCAGCUUGUUGGUGGGGUAAUGUCCUACCAAGGCGGCGACGGGUAGCCGGCCUGAGAGGGUGGCCGGCCACAGUGGGACUGAGAUAGGGCCCAGACUCCUACGGGAGGCAGGAGUGAGGAAUAUUGCACAAGGGGCGCAAGCCUGAUGCAGCGACGCCGCGUGGGGGAUGACGGCCUUCGGGUUGUAAACUCCUUUCGCUAGGGACGAAGCUUUUUGUGACGGUACCUAGAUAAGAAGCACCGGCUAACUACGUG
RNAcentral lists this ribosomal RNA (465 nucleotides) under uncultured bacterium. RNAcentral's name for it is "partial 16S ribosomal RNA". It matches the Rfam family "Bacterial small subunit ribosomal RNA", at positions 28 to 507 of the family's 1533-position model. The record is from RNAcentral.